GUUUGAUCCUGGCUCAGGACGAACGCUGGCGGCGUGCCUAAUGCAUGCAAGUCGCACGCACUCGCUUCGGCGGGUGAGUGGCGCACGGCUGAGUAACACGUGGGAACCCGCCCCCCGGUGGGGGAUAACGCGACGAAAGUCGCGCUAAUCCCGCAUACGUCCGCAGGGGGAAAGCGCUUCGGCGCGCCGGGGGAGGGGCCUGCGGCCCAUCAGGUCGUUGGUGGGGUAACGGCCUACCAAGCCGAUGACGGGUAGCUGGUCUGGGAGGAUGACCAGCCAGACUGGGACUGGGACACGGCCCAGACUCCUACGGGAGGCAGCAGCAAGGAAUUUUCGGCAAUGGGCGCAAGCCUGACCGAGCAACGCCGCGUGCGGGAUGACGGCCUUCGGGUUGUAAACCGCUUUUCGGGGGGACGAUGAUGACGGUACCCCCGGAACAAGCCCCGGCUAACUCUGUGCCAGCAGCCGCGGUAAGACAGAGGGGGCGAGCGUUGUCCGGAGUCACUGGGCGUAAAGCGCGCGCAGGCGGUCGCCAAAGUGUCGUGUGAAAGCCCCCGGCUCAACCGGGGGAGGCCAUGGCAAACUCGGCGACUGGAGCGGCGGAGAGGCCCCUCGAAUUGCCGGUGUAGCGGUGAAAUGCGUAGAGAUCGGCAGGAAGACCAAGGGGGAAGCCAGGGGGCUGGCCGCUGGCUGACGCUGAGGCGCGACAGCGUGGGGAGCGAACCGGAUUAGAUACCCGGGUAGUCCACGCCGUAAACAAUGACCACUCGGCGUGCGGCGACUAUUGACGUCGCGGUGCGCCUUAGCUCACGCGCUAAGUGGUCCGCCUGGGAACUACGAGCGCAAGCUUAAAACUCAAGGAAUUGA
RNAcentral lists this ribosomal RNA (867 nucleotides) under uncultured bacterium. RNAcentral describes it as "bacterial SSU rRNA". It matches the Rfam family "Bacterial small subunit ribosomal RNA", at positions 11 to 913 of the family's 1533-position model. The record is from RNAcentral.